CACCCCUUGCACUGGGGGGCAAAAUCUUAAUCAGAGAAGUCCUGAUUCUCCAAUGCUUGAAGCAGGAGUAGAGCACUGUGAGUUUUAGAAUUCAUUCAGCUCAGGAAAAAAAAAAAGGUUUCUAAAGCUAAGAAGUCUCUUCGCUGUAAUAUUUAGACUUUUGGCACUUAUUCAGCCCUUUCUUACAUGCACACACUGGAAAACAGGAAGCUGGAGAAAGCCUUGGAGAAGGUUGUAGAAAAAGCCGUAUAUUACAGGAAGCUCUUUUCUCUGUGCCCAGAGGAGACGCAGAAGGCACCAUGUGAACACGGUAGGGUCAGAACUGGAGUUGGUUCCUGUUCAUGGCAUUUUGCUUCUCAGCUCAAUGAGAUUAUUUCUUGUUGAGGGUUUUUACUCAGGUGGAUUCUUUACUGCUGAGCCACCGGGGAAGAUCCCAGACAGAGAUGCAGCCUUCCUCAAAAGUAUCCUCAGGACUACUGACAGAUGAUGGCUGAUGAAACAGAAGUUUUGGUCACAAUCAACGUGCUGCCUUGAUUUUCUUUUAAAAUUUCCUGUGCCAGCAAUCAAGGUGGAUUCUUUACCAGCUGAGCUACCAAGGAAGCCCAAUCUUUCCUAUUCCCUACCAAAUGAAAGGAUAUUUGGCAUCUUCUGGAAGAGGAAUCAAGGGCAUGUCAAACAUGGGCCAACAAACAUUGUUGGUGCAAGUUCCUGUGCCCAACACAUGGUUUUCAUUGGUUCAACAUAAGUGGCUGCUCCAGACUUUGAACAUCUUCAGUGAAACCUUGUGAGAAGGUUUAACCUUUCUCUGGUCAAGUAUCAAAACUCCAAGUGAAUUGGAACACUUAGAACAUAACUAUUCUGACAGGAGGCACUAUUUUCAAGGUAUGAAAAUGAGUUUUGCAUGUAGUUUUGCAUUAUUGUUCCAGGACAUAUUAGAUUCAUAACACUGGAC
RNAcentral lists this long non-coding RNA (952 nucleotides) under Bos indicus x Bos taurus (hybrid cattle). RNAcentral's name for it is "lncRNA (ENSBIXG00000019124.1)". Lineage: Eukaryota; Metazoa; Chordata; Mammalia; Artiodactyla; Bovidae. The record is from RNAcentral.